RNAcentral lists this ribosomal RNA (304 nucleotides) under uncultured bacterium. RNAcentral describes it as "partial 16S ribosomal RNA". It matches the Rfam family "Bacterial small subunit ribosomal RNA", at positions 506 to 807 of the family's 1533-position model. The record is from RNAcentral.
CAGCAGCAGCCGCGGUAAUACGAAGGGGGCUAGCGUUGUUCGGAUUUACUGGGCGUAAAGGGCGCGUAGGCGGACUGAUAAGUCAGGGGUGAAAUCCCAAGGCUCAACCUUGGAACUGCCUUUGAUACUGUUUGUCUUGAGUUCGAGAGAGGCAAGUAGAACUGCGAGUGUAGAGGUGAAAUUCGUAGAUAUUCGCAAGAACACCAGUGGCGAAGGCGGCUUACUGGCUCGAAACUGACGCUGAGGCGCGAAAGCGUGGGGAGCAAACAGGAUUAGAGACCCCUGUAGUCCCUGUCUCUUAUAC